ACGCCAUGCUGCUUCUCUGAAAGAACUGGGCUAGGGGCAGUAUAAGCCCAGAGUCAUAAACCCAAGAAGGAACAGGACACUAAAAUGAGGGAAAAGCAGGUCUCAAAUCUUAAAGAAAAUGGAUUGAAAUUGGAGUUAACCUGGAUGUCCAAAGGGAAUGCAAUUUGGGAAAGGGAAAGGCACACAACUGAAAUGAAAGGUCACAUAACCCUCCCUCCUACGCCUUAGCCACCAUCCACUCUAGAUUUGUGCAAAUAUUUUGUUUCCUAAAAGAGCACUUACCAUUUGUUACCAAGUUCAUCCUAUUUCCCCCACAUGCAAUCUGAUGAAAAGCCCCACCCCAAAUUCUUCCAAAUAACACCCCGGCCUUUGGACCAGUCCCCAGAACUACUCCAUCCACCCCCCUUUGCAUGCCCCUCGUCACUUCAAAUCUAAGUCCCUUUUCCCUUUCUUCUCUGUGGCUGCCUGGCAAAGUGUGCUGAAAUUAAUUGAGCACAGUAGGCACCACCUGUUAUAAGUUCUUUAGCUCUUGUUAUUCCAAUAGCAACUCUUACACUUGGCCUUUUUGACAGUUUCAUGGAGCUGGAAGAAUGGGACACAAGCUCUGUCUUCUGUUGAACAAGAAAGAUGGAAGUUUGUGGCAUCGUUGGAAACACCUCAUAUGGUUGUGCUGGAAACUGUUGGGUGACAUGCUACAGGCCAGUUUAAUCUGAUGGGGGUUUUUUCCCUUAGAUGGAAGUCCUGGCACUGCCUCCAGCUUGGCUCUCUUCAUCUUCUCCUUCUUCUGGCAGAGCCCCAGCAUCUCCAAGGAGACACAGCACCUAGAGCGGGCCAUGGCCAGCUGCCUCCCACCAGGAUCUGCCCAAUUUUGGAUUUUAUAUUCUUCGGGCCCCAUUGUCUCAUACAUUGAAGAGGAUGUCUUCUCACCUCUCUGGGAUUGCCCAAGAGAGAGUUGCUGUUAACACACACACACACACAUAUAUAUCCUGAUUAGAAGAUACUUUAUCCACCAUGCAAUCCCAAGGAACUGAAUUCACAUCCCAAAAUGGCUCAUUCAAGGUUUUAGCCUGGGUCACAAUACUCAGGUUUUCAGACUUAAGGAGAUAGGAAAAGGGACUAAGGAAAUGAGCACAAUUUCUCAGAACCCAAAAUAAGUAUACCUUGUUAGAAUAUCAUUAAUCCACUCCUUGUACACACACAAUUGAAUGGAAAGGAUAUUUGCAAGGACCAAUAAAAUCUUGCCUGCCUAGUUUUAGCCCAACUAGACUUGAUGGUGGAAGAAGGGGCUACCCAGAAUACAUUUGGAAUCAUUGGCAAAGGUUAGGUGAUUACUCUCUUGGGAGGUGGGGAAACAUUGCUUGCAAAUCAAUGACAUUUGUCAGCACUAAUAUCACAACCCCUCAUCACCUAGACUGUCAACAUCAAUCAGCAUCUUUAAAAAGAAAAGGUGUUUGAGAUAUAGUAGCGAGAGGGAGAGGGCAGGGUGGAGGAAGAAGAAAGGAAAGAUGGUUGGCUCUUGAAAGAGACAUGAAAGAACAAAGGAAUGGAACCUUGGAAAAUUGGACUGUAAUGUAAUUUACCUGAGGGGAAGGAGUAUGUCCUCUCUCCUGUGUUCCUUGUUUCACUUAAAGCAGUAGUUGCAGUACCUUCAGUUUGUUUGUUUUUUCAUGAAUACAAUUUUUUGACCAUCUCCUUUGGGAAAAGCACUGAAAUAGGUAAGUAGAAAUAUGCAAAAAACCCAAACAUAUAAAUUGAAUAUAAUCCCACCU
This 1769-nucleotide long non-coding RNA is filed under the name Ornithorhynchus anatinus (platypus). Its description in RNAcentral is "lncRNA (ENSOANG00000049348.1)". The record is from RNAcentral. Lineage: Eukaryota; Metazoa; Chordata; Mammalia; Monotremata; Ornithorhynchidae.